Molecule: ribosomal RNA, 440 nt
Filed under: uncultured bacterium
Lineage: Bacteria
Description: partial 16S ribosomal RNA
Rfam family: Bacterial small subunit ribosomal RNA
Source: RNAcentral
CCUACGGGUGGCAGCAGUGGGGAAUAUUGCACAAUGGGGGAAACCCUGAUGCAGCGACGCCGCGUGAGUGAAGAAGUAAUUCGUUAUGUAAAGCUCUAUCAGCAGGGAAGAAAAUGACGGUACCUGAGUAAGAAGCCCCGGCUAACUACGUGACAGUAGCCGCGGUAAUACGUAGGGGGCAAGCGUUAUCCGGAUUUACUGGGUGGAAAGGGAGCGUAGACGGCAGUGCAAGGCUGGAGUGAAAGGCGGGGGCUCAACCCCCGGACUGCUCUGGAGACUGUACGGCUGGAGUGCAGGAGAGGUGAGUGGAAUUCCUAGUGUAGCGGUGAAAUGCGUAGAUAUUAGGAGGAACACCAGUGGCGAAGGCGGCUUACUGGACUGUAACUGACGUUGAGGCUCGAAAGCGUGGGGAGCAAACAGGAUUAGAUACCCUUGUAGUC